GAUGAACGCUGGCGGUGUGCCUAAUACAUGCAAGUCGAGCGAACAGACGAGGAGCUUACUCCUCUGACGUUAGCGGCGGACGGGUGAGUAACACGUGGAUAACCUACCUAUAAGACUGGGAUAACUUCGGGAAACCGGAGCUAAUACCGGAUAACCUGUUGAACCGCAUGGUUCAACAGUGAAAGACGGUCUUGCUGUCACUUAUAGAUGGAUCCGCGUCGCAUUAGCUAGUUGGUAAGGUAACGGCUUACCAAGGCAACGAUGCGUAGCCGACCUGAGAGGGUGAUCGGCCACACUGGAACUGAGACACGGUGCAGACUCCUACGGGAGGCAGUAGUAGGGAAUCUUCCGCAAAGGGCGAAAGCCUGACGGAGCAACGCCGCGUGAGUGAAGAAGGUCUUCGGAUCGUAAAACUCUGUUAUUAGGGAAGAACAAAUGUGUAAGUAACUAUGCACGUCUUGAAGGUACCUAAUCAGAAAGCCACGGCUAACUACGUG
This 497-nucleotide ribosomal RNA is filed under the name uncultured bacterium. RNAcentral describes it as "partial 16S ribosomal RNA". It matches the Rfam family "Bacterial small subunit ribosomal RNA", at positions 28 to 507 of the family's 1533-position model. The record is from RNAcentral.